AUCCAGCUGACGAGUCUCAAAUAGGACGAAACGCGUGUCCUGGAU
Molecule: non-coding RNA, 45 nt
Organism: Schistosoma haematobium
Lineage: Eukaryota; Metazoa; Platyhelminthes; Trematoda; Strigeidida; Schistosomatidae
Source: Rfam